RNAcentral lists this long non-coding RNA (254 nucleotides) under Gallus gallus (chicken). The record is from RNAcentral. Lineage: Eukaryota; Metazoa; Chordata; Aves; Galliformes; Phasianidae.
AUACUGAGGAGCUGUCUGUGACACAACAAAUCUCCACCACUGCUGCUGAUGCCAGCAUUGCUGUGCCAGUGACAACACCAGGCAAUGCCAGUGCAGGCAUGUCAAAACAAACCAAAUGAAAAUAACGUGGGAUUUCUCUCAGGAGUUCCAGUAUAACCUGUAAACUUCUGAAUGAAGACUUCAAAAUUGGAGUUUUCAUGAGUGAAGACCCGAUGACAUACAGUGAUUUAAGACUUGGGAUUUGGAGUGAGCUC